RNAcentral lists this ribosomal RNA (406 nucleotides) under uncultured bacterium. RNAcentral's name for it is "partial 16S ribosomal RNA". It matches the Rfam family "Bacterial small subunit ribosomal RNA", at positions 29 to 526 of the family's 1533-position model. The record is from RNAcentral.
AUUGAACGCUGGCGGCAGGCCUAACACAUGCAAGUCGAGCGAGCGGCGGACGGGUGAGUAAUGCCUAGGAAUCUGCCUGGAAGUGGGGGAUAACGUAGGCAAACUUACGCUAAUACCGCAUACGAUUGAAUGAGCCGAUGUAGGAUUAGCUAGUUGGCGGGGUAAAGGCGCACCAAGGCGACGAUCCGUAGCCGGUCGGAGAGGGUGAGCAGCCACACUGGAACGGAGACACGGUCCAGAGUCCUACGGGAGGCAGCAGUGAGGAAUAUUGGACAAUGGGCGCAAGCCUGAUCCAGCCAUACCGCGUGGGUGAAGAGGGCCUUCGGGUUGUAGAGCCCUUUUGUUGGGAAAGCGGUACCCAAAGAAUAAGCACCGGCUAACUCCGUGCCAGCCGCCGCGGUAAUAC